This 973-nucleotide ribosomal RNA is filed under the name Clostridium saccharobutylicum. RNAcentral describes it as "partial 23S ribosomal RNA". It matches the Rfam family "Bacterial large subunit ribosomal RNA", at positions 1 to 977 of the family's 2925-position model. The record is from RNAcentral. Lineage: Bacteria; Bacillati; Bacillota; Clostridia; Eubacteriales; Clostridiaceae.
GGUCAAGCUACAAAGGGCGCAUGGUGAAUGCCUUGGCAUCAGGAGCCGAUGAAGGACGCGAUAAGCUGCGAUAAGCUUCGGGUAGACGCACAUAGUCAGAGAUCCGAAGAUUUCCGAAUGAGGAAACUCACAUGGGAAACCCCAUGUAUCAUAAAGUGAAUACAUAGCUUUAUGAAGGUAAACCCAGGGAACUGAAACAUCUAAGUACCUGGAGGAAGAGAAAGAAAAAUCGAUUUUCUUAGUAGCGGCGAGCGAAAAGGAAAGAGCCCAAACCAGAGAUUUAUCUCUGGGGUUGCGGACAGAACAUAACGAGAAGUCAUAGUUAACCGAACACAACUGGAAAGUUGGACCGCAGGGGGUAAUAGUCCCGUAAGUGAAAAUUAUGAUAAUCAGUUCUGCACCAGAGUACCACGAGACACGUGAAACCUUGUGGGAAGCAGGGAGGACCACCUCCCAAGGCUAAAUACUACCUGAUGACCGAUAGUGAAGCAGUACCGUGAGGGAAAGGUGAAAAGAACCCCGGGAGGGGAGUGAAAUAGAACCUGAAACCAUGUGCCUACAACCGAUCAAAGCACCUUAUGUGUGUGAUGAUGUGCUUUUUGUAGAACGAGCCAACGAGUUACGGUAUGUAGCGAGGUUAAGUGCUUAAGGUACGGAGCCGAAGGGAAACCGAGUCUUAAUAGGGCGACUAGUUGCAUGCUGUAGACCCGAAACCGGGUGACCUAUCCAUGGCCAGGUUGAAGCGAGGGUAAAACCUCGUGGAGGACCGAACCACGUUGCUGUUGAAAAAGCAUGGGAUGAGCUGUGGAUAGCGGAGAAAUUCCAAUCGAACUCGGAUAUAGCUGGUUCUCCUCGAAAUAGCUUUAGGGCUAGCGUCGGAAAAUGUGAGUAGUGGAGGUAGAGCACUGAAUAGGCUAGGGGGCAUAGCGCUUACCGAACCUUAUCAAACUCCGAAUGCCAUAUACUAUCAGUC